This 253-nucleotide ribosomal RNA is filed under the name uncultured bacterium. RNAcentral describes it as "partial 16S ribosomal RNA". It matches the Rfam family "Bacterial small subunit ribosomal RNA", at positions 524 to 776 of the family's 1533-position model. The record is from RNAcentral.
UACGGGGGGGGCAAGCGUUGUUCGGAAUUACUGGGCGUAAAGGGCUCGUAGGCGGCCGACUAAGUCAGACGUGAAAUCCCUCGGCUUAACCGGGGAACUGCGUCUGAUACUGGAUGGCUUGAAUCCGGGAGAGGGAUGCGGAAUUCCAGGUGUAGCGGUGAAAUGCGUAGAUAUUGGGAGGAACACCAGUGGCGAAGGCGGCUCACUGGACUGGUACUGACGCUGAUGCGCGAAAGCGUGGGGAGCAAACAGG